UACGAAGGGGGCUAGCGUUAUUCGGAUUCACUGGGCGUAAAGGGUGCGCAGGCGGCCAAGUGUGUUAGGCGUGAAAGCCUGAGGCUUAACCUCAGAAUUGCACCUAAAACUACAUGGCUAGAGCAUUGGAGAGGGUAGCGGAAUUCACGGUGUAGCAGUGAAAUGCGUAGAUAUCGUGAGGAACACCAGAGGCGAAGGCGGCUACCUGGACAAUUGCUGACGCUCAGGCACGAAAGCGUGGGGAGCAAAAGGG
This 253-nucleotide ribosomal RNA is filed under the name uncultured bacterium. RNAcentral's name for it is "partial 16S ribosomal RNA". It matches the Rfam family "Bacterial small subunit ribosomal RNA", at positions 524 to 776 of the family's 1533-position model. The record is from RNAcentral.